ACAAUGAUACUUCCGUCCAGCCACAGACUCAAGCAAUGGGGGCGGUUCUGAGAGAACCUCAGAAUGGUGAGAUUCCAAUGA
This 81-nucleotide non-coding RNA is filed under the name unclassified sequences. RNAcentral's name for it is "pemK RNA". It matches the Rfam family "pemK RNA". The record is from RNAcentral.